AUCCUAUGUUGAGGAUAUUUCCAUUGAAGGUCGUUAAUCCUGUCCCAUGUCUAAAAAAGAGGCUCCAAUUCUGUUUCAACAAAAGAAGAUAUCUCAUUCUUAAGGUU
Dioscorea cayenensis subsp. rotundata (Guinea yam) is the source of this 107-nucleotide small nucleolar RNA. The record is from RefSeq and is a predicted model, not a curated record. NCBI's taxonomy places the organism in Eukaryota, Viridiplantae, Streptophyta, Magnoliopsida, Dioscoreales, Dioscoreaceae.